GGCUGGGGACCUACCGCCAGCACUUAUUAGGGGGACUCCAGGUAGCUGCCAAAAAGCUCACUAAUUUGAGUAAGUCUCUUCAAGCCUUACAGAUUCUUCAGAGUGAGAUCCAGGCUACAAGACAACAGGCUCGAGAAAAAGCCUCUGCGACAUUCCAGCCCCAUGGUUUCAAGUCAGGAGACCUGGUCCUGAUAUGCUUGGUCUGCUUGCACCGAGGACUUGACUAUUUAAAUACAUUCCCAAAUCAAUCUUGGCUACCCAAUCUGCCACUUUAUUUUGUGUCAUGGUGUAUGUUUUCCACAAGUCUUGUAUUAUAAUAAAAAAGGAGGCCGCGAACAUCUGGGAUUAACCACUGAACACUAUAGGAGUAAAUGGGCUGCCCCCGUUUUAGUGCCCAUUCUGGUGGGAUUAGGAAUAGCCAGGUCAGCGGCUAUUGGAACUUCCUCCCUGAUCCUUCAGGACAAAUUUUAAAGCCCUAAGCCACCA
RNAcentral lists this long non-coding RNA (486 nucleotides) under Heterocephalus glaber (naked mole-rat). RNAcentral's name for it is "lncRNA (ENSHGLG00000034442.1)". The record is from RNAcentral. Lineage: Eukaryota; Metazoa; Chordata; Mammalia; Rodentia; Bathyergidae.